UGGGGAAUAUUGCACAAUGGGCGAAAGCCUGAUGCAGCGACGCCGCGUGAGGGAUGACGGCCUUCGGGUUGUAAACCUCUUUCAGCAGGGACGAAGCGCAAGUGACGGUACCUGCAGAAGAAGCACCGGCUAACUACGUGCCAGCAGCCGCGGGAAUACGUAGGGUGCAAGCGUUGUCCGGAAUUACUGGGCGUAAAGCGUUCGUAGGGGGUUUGUCGCGUCGGUUGUGAAAACCAGCAGCUCAACCGCUGGCUUGCAGGCGAUACGGGGGGACUUGAGUACUGCAGGGGAGAGUGGAAUUCCUGGUGUAGCGGUGAAAUGCGCAGAUAUCAGGAGGAACACCGGUGGCGAAGGCGGGUCUCUGGGCAGUAACUGACGCUGAGGAACGAAAGCGUGGGUAGCGAACAGG
Molecule: ribosomal RNA, 409 nt
Filed under: bacterium
Lineage: Bacteria
Description: partial 16S ribosomal RNA
Rfam family: Bacterial small subunit ribosomal RNA
Source: RNAcentral